This 305-nucleotide ribosomal RNA is filed under the name uncultured bacterium. RNAcentral's name for it is "bacterial SSU rRNA". It matches the Rfam family "Bacterial small subunit ribosomal RNA", at positions 334 to 636 of the family's 1533-position model. The record is from RNAcentral.
UUUUCCUACGGGAGGCAGCAGUGAGGAAUAUUGGUCAAUGGGCGCGAGCCUGAACCAGCCAAGUCGCGUGAGGGAUGACGGCCCUACGGGUUGUAAACCUCUUUUGCCGGGGAGCAACGGGCGCCACGUGUGGCGCCACUGAGAGUACCCGGAGAAAAAGCAUCGGCUAACUCCGCGCCAGCAGCCGCGGUAAUACGGAGGAUGCGAGCGUUAUCCGGAUUUAUUGGGUUUAAAGGGUGCGCAGGCGGUCUGUUAAGUCAGCGGUCAAAGCCCGGGGCUACACCCCGGCCCGCCGGUGAAACUGG